Molecule: ribosomal RNA, 590 nt
Filed under: uncultured bacterium
Lineage: Bacteria
Description: partial 16S ribosomal RNA
Rfam family: Bacterial small subunit ribosomal RNA
Source: RNAcentral
UGGGGAAUUUUGGACAAUGGGCGAAAGCCUGAUCCAGCAAUGCCGCGUGUGUGAAGAAGGCCUUCGGGUUGUAAAGCACUUUUUGUCCGGAAAGAAAUCCUUGGCUCUAAUACAGUCGGGGGGAUGACGGUACCGGAAGAAUAAGCACCGGCUAACUACGUGCCAGCAGCCGCGGUAAUACGUAGGGUGCAAGCGUUAAUCGGAAUUACUGGGCGUAAAGCGUGCGCAGGCGGUUUGCUAAGACCGAUGUGAAAUCCCCGGGCUCAACCUGGGAACUGCAUUGGUGACUGGCAGGCUAGAGUAUGGCAGAGGGGGGUAGAAUUCCACGUGUAGCAGUGAAAUGCGUAGAGUAUGUGGAGGAAUACCGAUGGCGAAGGCAGCCCCCUGGGGCCAAUACUGACGCUCAUGCACGAAAGCGUGGGGAGCAAACAGGAUUAGAUACCCUGGUAGUCCACGCCCUAAACGAUGUCAACUAGUUGUUGGGGGAUUCAUUUCCUUAGUAACGUAGCUAACGCGUGAAGUUGACCGCCUGGGGAGUACGGUCGCAAGAUUAAAACUCAAAUGAAUUGACGGGGUCAUAGCUGUUUCCU